UACGUAGGGAGCAAGCGUUGUCCGGAAUCAUUGGGCGUAAAGCGCGCGUAGGCGGCCCCGUAAGUCCGCUGUGAAAGUCAAAGGCUCAACCUUUGAAAGCCGGUGGAUACUGUGGGGCUAGAGUCCGGAAGAGGCGAGUGGAAUUCCUGGUGUAGCGGUGGAAUGCGCAGAUAUCAGGAGGAACACCAAUAGCGAAGGCAGCUCGCUGGGACGGUACUGACGCUAAGGCGCGAAAGCGUGGGAGCGAACAGG
This 252-nucleotide ribosomal RNA is filed under the name uncultured bacterium. RNAcentral's name for it is "partial 16S ribosomal RNA". It matches the Rfam family "Bacterial small subunit ribosomal RNA", at positions 524 to 776 of the family's 1533-position model. The record is from RNAcentral.